RNAcentral lists this long non-coding RNA (1305 nucleotides) under Oncorhynchus mykiss (rainbow trout). Its description in RNAcentral is "lncRNA (ENSOMYG00000053753.1)". The record is from RNAcentral. Lineage: Eukaryota; Metazoa; Chordata; Actinopteri; Salmoniformes; Salmonidae.
AUGCCCCCACUUCCCAACCGAUCCAGGACCAGCAACAAUGGCGUCACUGAUGACAGCAACAACAAUGAUGACAACAACAUCAUCAAUAAUGUCAGCAACAACAUCAAUGUCGGCAACAACAACAUCAAUAAUGUCAGCAACAAAAACAUCAUCAAUAAUGUCAGCAACAAAAACAUCAUCAAUAAUGUCAGCAACAAAAACAUCAUCAAUAAUGUCAGCAACAACAUCAAUGUCGGCAACAACAACAUCAUCAAUAAUGUCAGCAACAAAAACAUCAUCAAUAAUGUCAGCAACAACAACAUCAUCAAUAAUGUCAGCAACAACAACAUCAUCAAUAAUGUCAGCAACAAUAUCAAUGUCAGCAACAACAGCAGCAUCAUUAAUGACAACAGCACCAAUAAUGACAACAACAGCACCAAUAAUGACAUCAACAGCACCAAUAAUGACAUCAACAGCACCAAUAAUGACAGCAACAACAACAGCACCAAUAAUGACAACAGCACCAAUAAUGACAACAGCACCAAUAAUGACAGCAACAACAACAGCACCAAUAAUGACAACAACAACAACAGCACCAAUAAUGACAACAGCACCAAUAAUGACAGCAACAACAACAGCACCAAUAAUGACAGCAACAACAACAGCAACAGCACCAAUAAUGACAGUAACAGCACCAAUAAUGACAACAACAGCACCAAUAAUGACAGCAACAACAGCACCAAUAAUGACAACAACAGCACCAGUAAUGACAUCAACAACAACAACAGCACCAAUAAUGGCAGCAACAACAACAACAGCACCAAUAAUGACAACAACAGCACCAGUAAUGACAUCAACAACAACAGCACCAAUAAUGGCAGCAGCAACAACAACAGCAAUAAUGACAACAGCACCAAUAAUGACAACAGCACCAAUAAUGACAGCAACAACAACAGCACCAAUAAUGACAACAGCACCAAUAAUGACAGCAACAACAACAGCACCAAUAAUGACAUCAACAACAACAGCAACAACAACAGCAUCAAUAAUGACAGCAACAACAGCAACAGCACCAAUAAUGACAGUAACAGCACCAAUAAUGACAGCAACAACACCACCAAUAAUGACAACAACAGCACCAAUAAUGACAGCAACAACAACAGCACCAAUAAUGACAACAACAGCACCAGUAAUGACAUCAACAACAACAACAGCACCAAUAAUGGCAGCAGCAACAACAACAGCACCAGAAACAGUCCUGGUAAAGUGGUGAAGAUCAGACAGUCUGUAUCCCUCGCCACAAUGACUAAACAGGAUCCUCAAUGA